Molecule: ribosomal RNA, 795 nt
Filed under: uncultured prokaryote
Description: bacterial SSU rRNA
Rfam family: Bacterial small subunit ribosomal RNA
Source: RNAcentral
UNCCGGUGGCGAAGGCGGCCCCCUGGACAAAGACUGACGCUCAGGUGCGAAAGCGUGGGGAGCAAACAGGAUUAGAUACCCUGNUANNCCACGCUNUAAACGAUGUCGAUUUGGAGGUUGUGCCCUUGAGGCGUGGCUUCCGGAGCUAACGCGUUAAAUCGACCGCCUGGGGAGUACGGCCGCAAGGUUAAAACUCAAAUGAAUUGACGGGGGCCCGCACAAGCGGUGGAGCAUGUGGUUUAAUUCGAUGCAACGCGAAGAACCUUACCUACUCUUGACAUCCAGAGAACUUUCCAGAGAUGGAUUGGUGCCUUCGGGAACUCUGAGACAGGUGCUGCAUGGCUGUCGUCAGCUCGUGUUGUGAAAUGUUGGGUUAAGUCCCGCAACGAGCGCAACCCUUAUCCUUUGUUGCCAGCGAUUCGGUCGGGAACUCAAAGGAGACUGCCGGUGAUAAACCGGAGGAAGGUGGGGAUGACGUCAAGUCAUCAUGGCCCUUACGAGUAGGGCUACACACGUGCUACAAUGGCAUAUACAAAGAGAAGCAAACUCGCGAGAGCCAGCGGACCUCAUAAAGUACGUCGUAGUCCGGAUUGGAGUCUGCAACUCGACUCCAUGAAGUCGGAAUCGCUAGUAAUCGUAGAUCAGAAUGCUACGGUGAAUACGUUCCCGGGCCUUGUACACACCGCCCGUCACACCAUGGGAGUGGGUUGCAAAAGAAGUAGGUAGCUUAACCUUCGGGAGGGCGCUUACCACUUUGUGAUUCAUGACUGGGGUGAAGUCGUAACAAGUAGCCGU